AGAGUUUGAUCCUGGCUCAGGACGAACGCUGGCGGCGUGCUUAACACAUGCAAGUCAGGGGGUGGGGCAACCCAUCACCGGCGAACGGGUGCGUAACACGUGAGCGACCUGCCCUCGAGUGGGGGAUAGCCGGCCCAACGGCCGGGUAAUACCGCAUACGACGUCGGCUUAGAAGCCGGUCGUGAAACCACUUGGGCUCGAGGAGGGGCUCGCGGCCUAUCAGCUAGUUGGUGGGGUAACGGCCCACCAAGGCGAUGACGGGUAGCUGGUCUGAGAGGAUGGCCAGCCACAUUGGGACUGAGAAACGGCCCAGACUCCUACGGGAGGCAGCAGUGGGGAAUCUUGCGCAAUGGCCGAAAGGCUGACGCAGCGACGCCGCGUGGGGGAUGAAGGCCUUCGGGUUGUAAACCCCUGUUGCCCGGGACGAACGACCGAUUUCGAUCGGUGUGACGGUACCGGGUGAGGAAGCACCGGCUAACUCUGUGCCAGCAGCCGCGGUAAUACAGAGGGUGCGAGCGUUGUCCGGAAUCACUGGGCGUAAAGGGCGCGUAGGCGGUCUGCUAAGCGUGUGGUGAAAGCUCGGGGCUCAACCCCGAGUCGGCCGUGCGAACUGGUGGACUCGAGCACGUCAGAGGCAGGCGGAAUUCCGGGUGUAGCGGUGGAAUGCGUAGAGAUCCGGAAGAACACCGGUGGCGAAGGCGGCCUGCUGGGACGUGGCUGACGCUGAGGCGCGACAGCGUGGGGAGCAAACAGGAUUAGAUACCCUAGUAGUCC
Molecule: ribosomal RNA, 774 nt
Filed under: uncultured bacterium
Lineage: Bacteria
Description: bacterial SSU rRNA
Rfam family: Bacterial small subunit ribosomal RNA
Source: RNAcentral